RNAcentral lists this ribosomal RNA (279 nucleotides) under uncultured bacterium. Its description in RNAcentral is "partial 16S ribosomal RNA". It matches the Rfam family "Bacterial small subunit ribosomal RNA", at positions 506 to 784 of the family's 1533-position model. The record is from RNAcentral.
UGCCAGCCGCCGCGGUAAUACGGAGGGUGCAAGCGUUAAUCGGAAUCAUUGGGCGUAAAGCGCACGUAGGCGGCUUAUUAAGUCGGAUGUGAAAUCCCGGGGCUCAACCUCGGAAUGCCAUUGGAAACUGAUAAGCUUGAGAGUGAGAGGGGUUAGUGGAAUUGCUGGUGUAGGGGUGAAAUCCGUAGAGAUCAGCAGGAACACCGGUGGCGAAGGCGACUGACUGGAUCAUUUCUGACGCUGAGGUGCGAAAGCGUGGGUAGCAAACAGGAUUAGAUA